GGACGGGUGAGUAAUGUCUGGGAAACUGCCUGAUGGAGGGGGAUAACUACUGGAAACGGUGGCUAAUACCGCAUAACGUCGCAAGACCAAAGAGGGGGACCUUCGGGCCUCUUGCCAUCAGAUGUGCCCAGAUGGGAUUAGCUUGUUGGUGAGGUAACGGCUCACCAAGGCGACGAUCCCUAGCUGGUCUGAGAGGAUGACCAGCCACACUGGAACUGAGACACGGUCCAGACUCCUACGGGAGGCAGCAGUGGGGAAUAUUGCACAAUGGGCGCAAGCCUGAUGCAGCCAUGCCGCGUGUAUGAAGAAGGCCUUCGGGUUGUAAAGUACUUUCAGCGGGGAGG
Molecule: ribosomal RNA, 344 nt
Filed under: Salmonella enterica subsp. enterica serovar Derby
Lineage: Bacteria; Pseudomonadati; Pseudomonadota; Gammaproteobacteria; Enterobacterales; Enterobacteriaceae
Also listed under: 3 other names
Description: bacterial SSU rRNA
Rfam family: Bacterial small subunit ribosomal RNA
Source: RNAcentral